RNAcentral lists this ribosomal RNA (110 nucleotides) under Citrobacter koseri. The record is from RNAcentral. RNAcentral also lists the same sequence under 4 other names. Lineage: Bacteria; Pseudomonadati; Pseudomonadota; Gammaproteobacteria; Enterobacterales; Enterobacteriaceae.
CCUGGCGGCCGUAGCGCGGUGGUCCCACCUGACCCCAUGCCGAACUCAGAAGUGAAACGCCGUAGCGCCGAUGGUAGUGUGGGGUCUCCCCAUGCGAGAGUAGGGAACUG